RNAcentral lists this unclassified non-coding RNA (266 nucleotides) under Hevea brasiliensis (rubber tree). Lineage: Eukaryota; Viridiplantae; Streptophyta; Magnoliopsida; Malpighiales; Euphorbiaceae. The record is from RNAcentral.
CUAGAAAUCUAGAGUUUUGAAAAUUUUGCUGUUGAAAGCUUUCUCUGAUUUGCUGGAAGUUCUGCGGCAUCAGCUAUCUGUGGUUUGACCUUAUAGAAGCUCCUCAAUUCAAGUUGGGGCAUUCACAACUGUAUACUUAAAGGUGGUUGUUCAUGUCAAGUCAAUCUGAUUCUUUUUAAACACAGCGUAACUAAAUCAUGCUCUCAACCUGUAUGUAAAUUACAAGUCCAUAUGCAGUCAUUCUUUAAUGUGUAUUUUUUCUUUCU